GAUGAACGCUGGCGGCGUGCCUAAUACAUGCAAGUCGAGCGGCAGCGCGAGUAGUUUACUACUUGGCGGCGAGCGGCGGACGGCUGAGUAACACGUAGGAACAUACCCCAAAGUGAGGGAUAACUGCUCGAAAGAGUAGCUAAUACCGCAUGUAAUCUAAGGAUUAAAGCUUCGGCGCUUUGGGAAUGGCCUGCGUUCGA
This 200-nucleotide ribosomal RNA is filed under the name uncultured bacterium. RNAcentral's name for it is "partial 16S ribosomal RNA". It matches the Rfam family "Bacterial small subunit ribosomal RNA", at positions 28 to 240 of the family's 1533-position model. The record is from RNAcentral.